This 376-nucleotide ribosomal RNA is filed under the name uncultured organism. RNAcentral's name for it is "partial 16S ribosomal RNA". It matches the Rfam family "Bacterial small subunit ribosomal RNA", at positions 527 to 897 of the family's 1533-position model. The record is from RNAcentral.
GUAGGUGGCAAGCGUUGUCCGGAAUUAUUGGGCGUAAAGCGCGCGCAGGUGGUUCUUUAAGUCUGAUGUGAAAGCCCCCCGGGCUCAACCGGGGGAGGGUCAUUGGAAACUGGGGAACUUGAGUGCAGGAGAGGAAAGUGGAAUUCCACGUGUAGCGGUGAAAUGCGUAGAUAUGUGGAGGAACACCAGUGGCGAAGGCGACUUUCUGGCCUGUAACUGACACUGAGGCGCGAAAGCGUGGGGAGCAAACAGGAUUAGAUACCCUGGUAGUCCACGCCGUAAACGAUGAGUGCUAAGUGUUGGGGGGUUUCCGCCCCUCAGUGCUGCAGCUAACGCAUUAAGCACUCCGCCUGGGGAGUACGGUCGCAAAGACUGA